Molecule: long non-coding RNA, 3022 nt
Organism: Chelonia mydas (Green sea turtle)
Lineage: Eukaryota; Metazoa; Chordata; Testudines; Cheloniidae
Exons: 3
Source: RefSeq, a predicted model, not a curated record
AGUUGCUGCCUGAAGCUGGGAGAGGAUUGUGUUCCUGGCUGACUGAAAGAGCAGCAGGACCAUGGACCGCUCAGUGUGGACAGGGACCAGGGGAGCUAAGAAGGUGCUCCUGGCUAGCUGCUGGGAUUGAGUAAGGACUGAGCCCAGGGAAGGCUGCAGAUAGUGUGUGAGACUUGGAUGGAGGGCUAAGUCACUGAAGACCCACCAAAGAAACCAUCAACCACCGGGGUGCUCACGAGAGGUGGGUGCCACCCUGUUCCACAAACAGAGAGACUGCUGGCACACAAGGAGGCACUCGUGAGAGGGGAAAAUGUCCAGUAUCUGACACUGAUUUAAGAAGAUAAUGUUCAGAUGAGAAUACAUGGCCCGAUACUAUUCCCACUUAUUUAACUGGGAACAGGAAUGAGCCCCCAGAGAGCAGCAUAUCUUGCAAAUAUGUAAAGAAAGUAAAAAAACUUUGAUAAAAAGGAAAAAAUAACUUUAAAUACUAUCUUCAGCUACAAAACACUCAUAUGCAGAGUCCCACAAGGCUCAGUCAUCUCCCCCAUGUUAUUCAACAUCUUUAUGAAAUUGUUGGGAGAGCUGAUGAGACAAAAUGGACUGAAGUGCCAACAGUAUAUAGAUUAUAUCCAGCUUUACAUCUCCUUUAUACAAAAAUAAAGUGCACCAUCUCCCAGAUUUCUUAUUGCAAGAUUCGGGUGAUCCUGUUAGGAAGACAGAAGAUCCUUGAAGAACCUGUUUCCCAUAUAACAUACCAAACUACAGAAGGCAUCUCUUCUCAGAAUAUGAAUGCAGUCUUCAGCAUCUUUAAGGGGUCCUUUUAAACUCUUCAGUGCCACUGGAUGCUCAAACCACCAUGACACCAAAAAUCAUCCACUUCCACCUGCUAUUCGCUAGAAGACAGUACUCCAAUCCCAUGAAACGCUGAACUGGACACUGCGAUUCAUGCAUUCAUGACCUCCAGAGUAACUACAAAUUCAGCAGCCAAUGUGCAUAGCAACACAGGUCAUCCUGAAGCUCCUCUCUGCACUAGAAUCUUCCACUAAAUACAAAAUCCAACUCAAAUUCUCUGCCCUGAUACUAAAGUCUCUCCAUGGGAUUGGAUCCAGCAACCUGAGAGAUCCUCUCUUCCUCUACGAUCACCAUCAUCUCCCACUACAGCUAUGUUCAAUUCACUGUCAACUAAUAGGAGGAGACUUAUGAGCACAGAAUACUGAAUUUUCACAGGUGCUAGACAGAGUAUGGAAUACAUUCCUUCAAAAAAAUAUAACCCUGGGUAUCACUUCCAGAACGACUCGCAAAACUCAUUUCUUGGAUGGAGCCUUUAUUCAAUAAUGUCUUCACACAUGUGGACAACACACCCAUUUAGUCACAAACAAAUAUCAUAGAAACUAGUCAAGUUAUUUCUCCUAUAGGUUGGGAAGGUAGAAAGAUAUUAUUAUUGCAGCUCCUACUUUUAAAUAUUUGGGAAGCGCUCAGUGGUGGGGACACACAAAACAAAUAACAUAGCUUUUGCUUUUUCCUAUAACAAUUUUCAGGGAGAAUAGACUUUUCAGUAUUUCUCUCUGUUUCUUAGUUGCUUUCUACAGCACUCGGCAAGCAGAUGACCAGGGAUUUGUUUGUACUCCUUGUACAUUGGCACAUACCUUUUCUUUCCAGUCACGUACCAUCUGAGGAAGUAAUGGUAAAAGUAAUGGUAAAAGUCACAUCUUAUCCUUAGCUCAUGCUAAAACUUUUUUUUAAAAAAAGGGGGAGUUGGUCUCUUGAAAACUGGGCACAUAAAGCAAGUGUUGUGGGUACCAGACUUUUGUGACUGAGUUUCUCUCCUCCCAUCUCCUCCUCAGAUGCUACCUGUAUUAUAGAAGCAUUUUUAGAAGGGAUUUCACUUCAUUAUAUAACUUGCACUUUACUGCAAAGAAAGAUUUUGCUGGGAGAAGAGGUUUGGAAAGUGAGAAUGUGGCACUGGCAGUGUUCUUUACUAGCAAACUAAAGAAAAAUGGCCCAAUUUAUCCUUGAUAUCUAAGUAGGGACCAUAUAAUAUGACCACUUCAGAUAUAACAGUUCUUCUGGAGUUAUUUGGGGCCAGUUGCCUUUUCAAUUGAGGAUUUAAUUUCACUACAUCACCAGCCACCAAAAUAGCUGUGUGAUUUCAAAUCUCCAUAUGUUCCAUUGUGUGUGUGUGUGUGUGUUUACAAACAUACGUGUACACACACACACACACACUUCUAUAUCUUGACUAGCCUGUAUCUUGAAAGCUGGGAGGCAAAGCAGUUAACACUUUUCCCCUCAGGACACCCUACUCAAAUCCUAUUAGGCUACAAGUGAAAGUGAGUAAUGACCUCAUCCUACUCCCCCAGUUGUGAACACUACAAAACCACCUCAGUCUGGCAAGACUGACAGUCCCUCUUUAAGAGAGGUCCAAAACUAGAAUAGAUAAAGGGAAAUAGAAUUAAGUGAUUUGGCAGCAGCAAGAAAAAAUUUGUAGUUGCUUGACAGUCCUCUUAGACCCUCCUUUACUUAAAUAAACUCAAAAAACUACCCCCCCCCAAAAAAAAUCUCUCUUGACCACUGAAAUAAAAGCCAGUAUGCUUGAGCUAAAUUAAGUUUCAAUUUCCCACAUAAAAAGAGAAUGUUAACCAUAAGAGAAGAAAUUUAAUGUCCACAGUGACUGCUAUAAGUUCCACUCUGAGUAUGGUUUGUAACAUCAAUCAGACCAAAGUUAGGAAGACAUGGUACUUCAAUAACACCAAAUAAUUCAUCUGACACUUUGUGAUAAAUUCAUCCCAUUGACUUCAGAAGAGUUGCAUCUGAAAUGAAUUUUGCCAGGUAAAUCUCAAACACUGUCCAGCAAAAGCACACCUCAUGAAAAUCCAUACAUUAUCAGCAGUAACUAAAAACCCCUUCCCCUCAAAUAAAAAAAAGCAAUGUUAUUCAGCUACUUCUCCUCAAUCUCUAAAAAUGUUGGUCAACGCAUAUUUUGUAGAGUAACAAAUAUUUUAAACAUUUUUCCACCACAGUCAGC